ACUUCUCAACUCCUCACGGUUUGCCCGUGAUGAGCUUGGACUUUGGGGGUCUUGCCGGCCUGCGGGUCGGCUCCUCUCAAAUGAAUCAGCUUGCCGGUGUUUGGCGGCGUCACAGGUGUGAUAACUAUCUACGCUUGUGGUUUUCCGCCAGGUAACCUCCAGCGAUGGGGGUUCACUGGAGCUCACAAAUGUCUCUCCUCGGUGAGGACAGCUCUUUGAAC
This 221-nucleotide unclassified non-coding RNA is filed under the name uncultured Thelephoraceae. RNAcentral's name for it is "sequence contains ITS2". Lineage: Eukaryota; Fungi; Basidiomycota; Agaricomycetes; Thelephorales; Thelephoraceae. The record is from RNAcentral.